UGGGGGAUAUUGCGCAAUGGGCGAAAGCCUGAUGCAGCGACGCCGCGUGGGGGAUGAAGGCUUUCGGGUUGUAAACCUCUUUCGCUAUCGAACAAGGCCCGCUUAGGGUGGGUUGAGGGUAGGUGGAGAAGAAGCGCCGGCUAACUACGUGCCAGCAGCCGCGGUAAUACGUAGGGCGCGAGCGUUGUCCGGUAUUAUUGGGCGUAAAGGGCUUGUAGGCGGCUUGUUGCGCCUGCUGUGAAAACGCGGGGCUUAACUUCGCGCGUGCAGUGGGUACGGGCAGGCUUGAGUGUGGUAGGGGUGACUGGAAUUCCAGGUGUAGCGGUGGAAUGCGCAGAUAUCUGGAGGAACACCGAUGGCGAAGGCAGGUCACUGGGCCAUUACUGACGCUGAGGAGCGAAAGCAUGGGUAGCGAACAGG
This 420-nucleotide ribosomal RNA is filed under the name bacterium. RNAcentral describes it as "partial 16S ribosomal RNA". It matches the Rfam family "Bacterial small subunit ribosomal RNA", at positions 355 to 776 of the family's 1533-position model. The record is from RNAcentral.